AACGUAGGAGGCAAGCGUUAUCCGGAUUUACUGGGCGUAAAGCGCGUGUAGGCGGUUUGGUAAGUCGAGCGUGAAAGCUCCCAGGCUCAACCGGGAGAGGACGUGCGAAACUGCCGGACUGGAGGUAGAGAGAGGCAAGUAGAAUCCCGGGUGUAGUGGUGAAAUGCGUAGAUAUCCGGAGGAAUACCAGUGGCGAAGGCGACUUGCUGGCUCUGCACUGACGCUCAGACGCGAAAGCAUGGGUAGCGAACGGG
RNAcentral lists this ribosomal RNA (254 nucleotides) under uncultured bacterium. Its description in RNAcentral is "partial 16S ribosomal RNA". It matches the Rfam family "Bacterial small subunit ribosomal RNA", at positions 524 to 776 of the family's 1533-position model. The record is from RNAcentral.